GCUGGGUGUGGUGGCGUGUGCCUGUAAUCCCAGUUACUUGGGAGGCUGAGACAGGAGAAUCGCUUGAACUCAGGAGGCAGAGGUUGCAGUGAGCCGAGAUUGCACCACUGCACACUACCCUGAGCAAGAGAGUGAGACUCUGUCUCAA
This 148-nucleotide non-coding RNA is filed under the name Chlorocebus sabaeus (green monkey). The record is from Rfam by way of RNAcentral. Lineage: Eukaryota; Metazoa; Chordata; Mammalia; Primates; Cercopithecidae.